GCCGAUAAGCUCAAUGGAUGAGCGUUCUAAGGAAAAAGAAAGGAGCGGGUUCAAUCCCCGUCAUUGGCU
Molecule: transfer RNA, 69 nt
Filed under: Chitinophaga sp. SYP-B3965
Lineage: Bacteria; Pseudomonadati; Bacteroidota; Chitinophagia; Chitinophagales; Chitinophagaceae
Description: tRNA-Ser
Source: RNAcentral